GUAUGGUCUUACAGUAGUAACAUAUACAUGCGGGAGAUUUGGAAUUCUUAUAAAUAUUUCUGGAUCAAACACUAUUAUAGGAACAUACAAAAAGUGAUAAGGUAUAAAGAUCUAUAAAUAGAAAUCUUAGCUUAAUCUGUAUACUGGACAGAUGUUUAUAAUCUGCUGUUUCACUUUCUCGUCUGUUGUUAGUUUCACCAUUCUCAAAUUCAGCAGUGCAAAAAAAAUUUUUCAAGCAGGUGACAGCAUAAAAUUUGUUUCAGCUUCAGUGCAAAAUAUAAUUUUUUUUUCGGUCAGCUAGGCCAUCAAAAUAUUUUUUUUCAAAAAAAUCCAAGGCCCCCCCCAGAUAAGAAAAUGGUUGUUG
RNAcentral lists this long non-coding RNA (364 nucleotides) under Mytilus galloprovincialis (Mediterranean mussel). Lineage: Eukaryota; Metazoa; Mollusca; Bivalvia; Mytilida; Mytilidae. The record is from RNAcentral.